UACGUAGGGGGCGAGCGUUGUCCGGAUUUAUUGGGCGUAAAGAGCUCGUAGGCGGUUCGACAAGUCGGAUGUGAAAUCUCCACGCUCAACGUGGAGGGGCCAUUCGAAACUGUCGUGACUUGAGUCCGGUAGGGGAGUGUGGAAUUCCCGGUGUAGCGGUGAAAUGCGCAGAGAUCGGGAGGAACACCCGUAGCGAAGGCGGCACUCUGGGCCGUGACUGACGCUGAGGAGCGAAAGCGUGGGGAGCAAACAGG
Molecule: ribosomal RNA, 254 nt
Filed under: uncultured bacterium
Lineage: Bacteria
Description: partial 16S ribosomal RNA
Rfam family: Bacterial small subunit ribosomal RNA
Source: RNAcentral